AAAAAAAACGUCGCACUCUUCUAUCGUUCAGUCGACGGAACCCUAAUUUUGUCGCCGUUCUCUACUUAUCUCGUCUCUUUCGGCCGAAACUCCUUCGGUGGUGUCGAAUUUCAAAUCAUCAAAAAUCAAAACUCAAAUCAAAGAGAUCUAUGGUAUUUUAUAUGAUUCGUUACAGGUUUGAGUUGAAUCAGGAAUAACUACUCUUUUACUUUGAUUUUAUAUGUUUCUCGUUUAGUUUUCCUCUCAAUCGAUCUAUAUAUUUAGAGA
Molecule: small RNA, 267 nt
Filed under: Arabidopsis thaliana (thale cress)
Lineage: Eukaryota; Viridiplantae; Streptophyta; Magnoliopsida; Brassicales; Brassicaceae
Description: ATSL043890
Source: RNAcentral